Molecule: ribosomal RNA, 563 nt
Filed under: uncultured bacterium
Lineage: Bacteria
Description: partial 16S ribosomal RNA
Rfam family: Bacterial small subunit ribosomal RNA
Source: RNAcentral
UGGGGAAUAUUGCACAAUGGGCGAAAGCCUGAUGCAGCAACGCCGCGUGAGUGAUGAAGGCCUUCGGGUUGUAAAAGCUCUGUCUUUUGGGACGAUAAUGACGGUACCAAAGGAGGAAGCCACGGCUAACUACGUGCCAGCAGCCGCGGUAAUACGUAGGUGGCAAGCGUUGUCCGGAUUUACUGGGCGUAAAGGAUGCGUAGGCGGAUUUUUAAGUGAGAUGUGAAAACCCUAAGCUUAACUUGGGGACUGCAUUUCAUACUGGAAAUCUAGAGUGCGGGAGAGGAGAAUGGAAUUCCUAGUGUAGCGGUGAAAUGCGUAGAGAUUAGGAAGAACACCAGUGGCGAAGGCGAUUCUCUGGACCGUAACUGACGCUGAGGCAUGAAAGCGUGGGUAGCAAACAGGAUUAGAUACCCUGGUAGUCCACGCCGUAAACGAUGAGUACUAGGUGUAGGAGGUAUCGACCCCUUCUGUGCCGCAGUUAACACAAUAAGUACUCCGCCUGGGAAGUACGAUCGCAAGAUUAAAACUCAAAGGAAUUGACGGGGUCAUAGCGUUUCCUG